Molecule: long non-coding RNA, 1908 nt
Filed under: Zea mays
Lineage: Eukaryota; Viridiplantae; Streptophyta; Magnoliopsida; Poales; Poaceae
Description: long non-coding RNA (ZMAY_LNC005416)
Source: RNAcentral
CAUAAAUAACAUAACAAAAUAAUUGGAACAUGGAUAGAAUGAAAUAUUAUCCCAAAACCAUGUACAACAAUAGCAUAACUACCCAAAUGAUUCGGGGAUAAACAAGGUAAUCAGGAUAAACAGACUAGGGUGACCUAUUGGGUCCCAUCAAAAUUAAACUUAUGCAUUGAAUAGUGAUAAUAAAUAACAUUAUUGGAUAACGAAAGUGUAUCAAGGGCACAACUUGCCUGGCACUUGAGAUUCCAGUAACCAGGGUGAUUCUUCAAAUCCUCGUGACCUCGCGCUAGUCGUAGCAAUACAAACAGAAAUGAUAUAGACAAAAUUAACAUCAUACCAAACAUAAGAACAUAUUGCAUAAUAAUGAUCUACGCGUCGCUACGAGAUCGCGGGAACGAGAACUACUAAGAUCGAAGUUACUAUUAAGGAGUUAUGAUUUUAUAGAGGAUUUAUGUGAUUAAAACAUUAAACUAUACUAUAAAUUGGCUAAUAUAAGUCAUAUAAGAGGUUAUUAUAAAAAUAAUUAUCUUAACUUUAAUCUAAGUGAUAAAUUGACCAUAUAUCAUAUUCUAGUAGUCUAUAAUGAUAAGCAGUUUAACCAGACUAACCAACAUCAGUUGAAUACAGAUCUAAUUAUAAAAUAAUGAGACAUAGUAUAAUAAAUGUUGUUAUUGUAUAGUAAAUAUUUGUACGGGACUAAUGCAACUUGAACGGAUCAAAUCGAGGUUAUAGAUUUUAAGUUAUGAAUUUCUAAGUAUUUUAUGUGUUUUGUACAAGAUUAAAUAGGAUAUAAAAUUUAAUUUGAUUUUCAUGCGAAAACAGUGGUACUAGAUGAUAAACCAUAAUAUUACAAAAUUAUAAGAACUGGAAUGGACUAAAAAGGUGUUAGUAUGGAUUUUCUAUGAAUAAAAUGAGUUUCUGGAAUUAUUUAUAUACUAAAAAUCAUUUUAUAUAAUUAAAUAUUUAUUUUCUCUGCUCCCUGGACUGCGCACACUAAUUCCGAGAAGUUCAGGGUGGAUUCUGUAAAAGUCUGGACUUCAGCGUAAAUAACUUAUAACAGAUCAGGACUGUGGGUUGAUAUUAAUAAACAGAGGGGCCUCUUCUGCAUAUUAUCCCAACCGCCAAGCAUCCAGGGCCGCACGAUCACGAUCCAGCGCACCAGAUUAAAUCCCGAUCCCAAGUGUGAUGCUGGCCCUUGGAUCCUAGAUUUGCGAUCCCGACACAUCUAUGCACCAGGCCACUGAGCUAGCUAUUCACUAGACCGCCGAUGGAAAGAUCUACGCCACGGGGAUGAUCCCCUUCCUAACACCGUCGGUCACGGUAGCACAAUCGUCGAACGCGACUGCGCCCACAUUUCUUCUACCUCUGACCGACCGCGGCGACAGUCAGUGCCGAUCCCGUAGUCACGCGGCGGCAAUCCAUGGCCGGACCCGCCUACAACCUAGCGCAACGAUUCAGAGUGUGGGGGUAGAAGCUGGCGAGGUCGCAUGGAAGACAUACCCCAAUCCUCGCCGAGGCAAUUCCCAGAAGUCGCCGCGCCACCCCACGAUGACACCACGAGGUUCUUCAUCGGUGUAUGCAAAACGGCGGCGCGGAAGGAGAUGGCCUUCUAGUAGUCACAGAGGGGGAGAGUUUGGCACCGACCUCCACGCGCAGCUAGGGUCCACCCCCAGGGCGACCACGACGGUCCGUCACCAAGCCCCGACGAGCACCCAGCGCGACAUCUCUGUUAUCAGCGCCCAGCCACAGUCUUCGCCACACGAGGAUACAGCCAGGUGCGGCGCGCGCCUACGAUCUUCAGAAGCAUUGAGUUGGCUUAGGCAAAGGUGCGAUUGCGACCUCAAUCAACUGACUGCGAUCUCAAUUUUCUCUCUGCUAUCCGACGUGCACGCGAUGAUGGCUACAACCUGG